CACGUAGGGUGCGAGCGUUGUCCGGAAUUAUUGGGCGUAAAGAGCUUGUAGGCGGUUUGUCGCGUCUGCUGUGAAAAUCCGGGGCUCAACCCCCGGACUUGCAGUGGGUACGGGCAGACUAGAGUGUGGUAGGGGAGACUGGAAUUCCUGGUGUAGCGGUGAAAUGCGCAGAUAUCAGGAGGAACACCGAUGGCGAAGGCAGGUCUCUGGGCCACUACUGACGC
This 224-nucleotide ribosomal RNA is filed under the name uncultured bacterium. RNAcentral describes it as "partial 16S ribosomal RNA". It matches the Rfam family "Bacterial small subunit ribosomal RNA", at positions 524 to 746 of the family's 1533-position model. The record is from RNAcentral.